This 309-nucleotide unclassified non-coding RNA is filed under the name Hevea brasiliensis (rubber tree). Lineage: Eukaryota; Viridiplantae; Streptophyta; Magnoliopsida; Malpighiales; Euphorbiaceae. The record is from RNAcentral.
GAAAUCUUUUACAUCUAAGAAGACAAGACUAGGAAACAUCCCUAUAAAAUUCAGAACGAAAAACAUCUCAGAAAGUGCUCUACUCCACGGGAAUUGAUUCUAUUGAUGACAGCCCAAGGUUAUGAAAAUAGUAUGCACCCCUCUCUUUCCAAUCUAUCCGUAAUUAUAAUUGACUGCGACAACGUUACUGCUUGUCUUCUGCUUUUCUAGGCUUGAUACUGGGAAAUGGCUGAUUGAGCUCCUCGUCGGGAAUGAUAACUGGCCAAGUUUCCCCAGCUUCUCGGAACAUUUGUUCGGUCUCAAGGAGUU